Molecule: ribosomal RNA, 518 nt
Filed under: uncultured Flavobacteriaceae bacterium
Lineage: Bacteria; Pseudomonadati; Bacteroidota; Flavobacteriia; Flavobacteriales; Flavobacteriaceae
Description: bacterial SSU rRNA
Rfam family: Bacterial small subunit ribosomal RNA
Source: RNAcentral
AGAGUUUGAUCCUGGCUCAGGAUGAACGCUAGCGGGAGGCCUAACACAUGCAAGCCGAGCGGUAUUUCUUCUUCGGAAGAGAGAGAGCGGCGUACGGGUGCGUAACACGUGUGCAACCUACCUUUAUCUGGGAGAUAGCCUUUCGAAAGGAAGAUUAAUAUCCCAUAAUAUAAAUUAAGGCAUCUUAAUUUAUUGAAAGCUCCGGCGGAUAGAGAUGGGCACGCGCAAGAUUAGAUAGUUGGUGAGGUAACGGCUCACCAAGUCUGUGAUCUUUAGGGGUCCUGAGAGGGAGAUCCCCCACACUGGUACUGAGACACGGACCAGACUCCUACGGGAGGCAGCAGUGAGGAAUAUUGGACAAUGGGUGCAAGCCUGAUCCAGCCAUCCCGCGUGAAGGAUGACGGUCCUAUGGAUUGUAAACUUCUUUUGUACAGGAAUAAACCUACUCUCGUGAGAGUAGCUGAAGGUACUGUACGAAUAAGCACCGGCUAACUCCGUGCCAGCAGCCGCGGUAAUAC